GGGAGUGGAAGGGUCCCGGUGGGCCUCGCGGUCUUCAAAACCGUUGUCCCGAUGUGAUCCAUCGGGAGGUGGGUUCGACUCCCAUGCACUCCCGCCA
RNAcentral lists this transfer RNA (97 nucleotides) under Dehalococcoidia bacterium. Its description in RNAcentral is "tRNA-Sec". It matches the Rfam family "Selenocysteine transfer RNA". Lineage: Bacteria; Bacillati; Chloroflexota; Dehalococcoidia. The record is from RNAcentral.